UUUAGUGGCGGACGGGUGAGUAACACGUGAGCAACCUGCCUUCGAGAGGGGAAUAACGGCUGGAAACGGUCGCUAAUACCGCAUAACAUACCGGGAGGACAUCCUGCUGGUAUCAAAGAUUUAUCGCUCGAAGAUGGGCUCGCGUCCGAUUAGGUAGUUGGUGAGGUAACGGCUCACCAAGCCGACGAUCGGUAGCCGGACUGAGAGGUUGAACGGCCACAUUGGGACUGAGACACGGCCCAGACUCCUACGGGAGGCAGCAG
Molecule: ribosomal RNA, 263 nt
Filed under: uncultured bacterium
Lineage: Bacteria
Description: partial 16S ribosomal RNA
Rfam family: Bacterial small subunit ribosomal RNA
Source: RNAcentral